CUUUCGGCGGCCCCCAGCCCUCAGAGUGAAGCUGUUGCCAAUGAGCUGCAGGAGCUCUCCUUGCAGCCCGAGCUGACCCUCAGCCUCCAUCAUGGCCGAAACCCCAACCUUCCUCCGCUCAGUGAAAGGAAGAAUGGUAGCAAGUUCCUGGGGAUUGUAAAGAGUUCCCUGGUUGCUGGUAAAGUUCCCCGAGAUGUGUGCAUUCUGAGUAGUGAUAAAGUGACGCUUCGCUGGCUUUUAACCAGAAUCCUGCAUGUGAUCCAAAGACUGAACAGAGUUAUGUGAGCUUCAUCGUCAUCGUGCAGAGGGAAUUCUUUCCGAAGCAGCAAAUGGGACGUUGUUGAAGUCAGCUUUAAAUAUGGAAAUUUUUAUGCCAGAGCUACUAACUGCAUAAAGGUCUGAGUUGGCUCUUAGAAGACACGCAGUGAGGAGUGCACAACUGUGAGCUGCAACGUUGCUGAGUUAUUCCAUUCAUGAAAGAUUUGAACAUAACCUUUUGCUGCCUUUUAUCCCUGUGAUUAACUAUUGAGUAAUCAAACUGCUGUUGUUGUGUUAGUCAAACCAGGGCUAAAGGAUGGUACUAAUUAAAUAUGUAAAACAUGCUUUCCAUUUUUAUUUUUUAAUAAAAACUUUAAUGUAGAAGACUACUCACUAGAAUCAUUUAACUGAGCAGUACCUAUUUCUAUUGACAGCUUUAAAUUUAAACAAGAACCUGCUGGAAGUCCAGUAAAACCUGGAGCUUGCGUUUGUUGAAUUGUAAAAUUACUUAUUAAAAAUAGUAUUUUUUUUUCAGUUGGUUUGAAAAUGCUCUCUGUGCAUUCAUGUUAUGCAGUGAGUGUUGCACUACAGGUUGAGACAGAGGGAGGGGAAAGAAAAACACAUCCAGGCAGAUUUUUGUCUUUAUCCCUUCUAUGAACUAAGAUGUGUGCACACAUGCUCUAUUUGUUCUAAAACAGGGAAGAUGUGGCAGACACGAAACAAAUAUUCACUGACUGCUUUGAUUCCUAACCUUUCUUAUGGCUCCAUCUUAUUUUAGAAUAAUUAGCUAACAAGAAAUAACUUCAAGGGGUGUGUGUGUACAGGUGCACCACUUUCCAGUUUACAUACUCGAUUAUGGUCGGCUUGCCAAUCUUUUGUACCAUUCACCAAUUGAUAUUAAAAACCAAAUGAAAGCUUAAAAUGUAUGUAAGCUCAUGUCAGGUUUUUUUGUGCUGUAACUUUAAGCAGAGUAUUUCUUGCUGAGAAAUUAAUGCAUUAUGUAUUAUGGGCUGCGCUUAAUUGCCAUUACUGUAAUCUGUAAGCUACCCUUUCAUUUACAUGAUGAAUAUAAAAUAACCUUCCGUGUGCUCUGCUCCCUCUCUCUAAGCUGAUAACGCCGCUUGCACCAGACACGCCUUGCCUAAAAAAGUGCAGCGUGGACACAUCCGCUCUGUCUUCCGCUUACCUGUUACCCCUUGCUAUCCAACGUUCACAUUUAAGAGAUGACUAAUAUUUAACAAAGCACUUAGGUUUCUAUUCCUGCUUGGUGGCAGGAAUUCAGAUUAGGGUUUAGAUCAGGAUUGUUUUCUUUCUUGUAGUGGUAGGAUUCAUGUCCAGUCCGUGCUUUGCUCACAGGAUUUAAAAAGCAAAUAUUUCUAAGUUUCAAUAUGAAGCAGUCUCUAAAGUAUGCCCAGAGCUGUAUAGAGCAGUGGUAGAGGUUACAUGGAACUGUUGAGGUUUUGGGAAUGUCUCUGGUUUUGUCUGAUGUCAUGUGGAAACGGACAAAUUCUUAAUAUUUUUAACCCUUUGCACUCUGCUUUUUUACCAAUCGUAGAUAGUUCCUAGAGCAUCAUAAACAAAACAGACAACAACAAAUAACCCAAGCCUAGUGAACAACGAUGAUGAAACAAACAACCAAACAACAACAACAAAAACAGUUACCUACAAUUUAAUGUCACAUCGGGAUGCCCCCUGUUGCUGUGCUGAUGCACCUCAGUUUGGACUUAGAGCACCCUCUGCUGUUCUGACCUUAGGGCUCUUCCAAGAAGUGUCUGGCGCUUGUUUCUAAUUCUCUUUUCAAAGGGAGAAACCUCAACUGGUCAUCUUGUGAUGGUCUCAGCUUAUUUUCAUUUGUGACUAAGCAAACACGAGCUCUGCCCGAUGGAAGUGAAACUAGAGUCUUUAUCUUAAUGGGAGAAAUAUUUCUUCCCCUUACUUCCCCCCCACUAAUUUAAUUACAUUGGCACGGCUCCCUUUUGUGCAUAACUUUAGUGUGUUUUAAGAAUGUUGUAGAAUUUACCAGUAGUUUUUUUUUUUUUUUUUUUUUUUUUUUUUGGUAGAUGGAGUCAUAAAGAAACAGAAUUAACCUUCAGGGUCACAGAGCUGCAUCCCCUGCUGUUGCAAGUAGCGAGGUCCUAUCCUGUCCUUCACAGUUUUACCAAGCACCGUUUUAAAAAAGCAGUAGAUUUCUCACUUGCCAGCAGCUCACACUGGAAAGCUGACCUAGAAUUUCCCUUUGGUUAAAAAUAUUCUAACUUUCAAUAUUAAAUGACUAUGUAUUUUAGUGCCUUUUAGUUGAAACAGCUUUUUGUACUUAAACUGGUGCAAACCUUAAUGCAGACUAAAUGUUUUACGAGAAGAAGCUGUACCCAAUUUACAGUGUCCUGAAGUAGACAAGUGCUAAAGUAGCGUCUCUUAUUGUGACCUGAUGAAUGCUAUUUUAUAUCUUUCUAUCCUGAUGCUUAUUUUAAAUCAUAUUCUCCAAGUAACAUUAAUGACACUUAGUAGGCAUUAUGCACAGGAUGGGAAUCCCAACAGGUUAGGAACCUACUUAAUUAUCCUGUGUGAGAAGUAGGUUGAAAAUUUGUUUUUAUGGUUCUUUGUAGUCUCUACCAUUUUCUCUGCCCUGGCUGUUUUUUCUCAGAAAUGAGUGUAUUCCAAAUAAAGAAGCUGCAGAUUCCAGGGAAGCACAGGCUGACUAAAUCAGUCUGUAAUGAGAAGUGGUCUUGAUGAUUUUGUUUUCUUUUUCCUUUUCCUGCUGGAGAUGACUCUGAAGCUGUUUUUCCUUGUGUUUUUCUUUCAACAUUUAAUAUCUGGAUUUUACAUUCACUGAUGUCAACUAAAAUAAAUGAUGCACCAUUGAAAA
This is a long non-coding RNA of Oxyura jamaicensis (ruddy duck), 3124 nucleotides long. RefSeq lists it as uncharacterized. The record is from RefSeq and is a predicted model, not a curated record. NCBI's taxonomy places the organism in Eukaryota, Metazoa, Chordata, Aves, Anseriformes, Anatidae. The transcript has 2 exons.